This 1212-nucleotide long non-coding RNA is filed under the name Ailuropoda melanoleuca (giant panda). RNAcentral's name for it is "lncRNA (ENSAMEG00000028334.1)". The record is from RNAcentral. Lineage: Eukaryota; Metazoa; Chordata; Mammalia; Carnivora; Ursidae.
UUAAAUAUUACUCACUCAGGAAGCAGCCCCUGCCAACUCACCCCCAAACCGUCCGGUUCAUUUUCAGAGAAAAAGAGAGGGAAGGAGAAGGAGGCUGUGUUCCCAGCUGGCACUGGCAGGGCAAUCGGUCUGCACGGCCCACUUUGGAGAAAGAACCGAGCAAGGGAAGUCAAGUUAAGCAGUUCUUGGGCACCAGCACCCCCACUGCCAGGUUACCAUAGAUGGCGCGCGCGCGCACACACACACACACACACACUCCCAGAGACGCAUACUCACCCCAGACACACUCACACACACACCCCAGGCACACAUUCAGAGACACACACUAACUCACCCACACACACUCACACACACACACACACACUCACCCCAGACACACACUCACUGAGGCCCACAGACACACAGAAACACUCAGAGCUACACAAAGACUCAGAAACACACUCUGCACUUAAUCUCACACAGGCACACACUCAGACAUACCACCUUGGCUCGCUUAGACACACCCACACAGGCAGGCUCAGAGACACACAAACGCACGGUCACCAGACCUCUCACACACAGACGCACACUCACUCACACACACUUGCAGUCUCCCAUCAGGGCAAGCCACCUCGCCAGGGGCCAGUUAGGAUUCCAGGAGCCUUUGCCUUGAACUUGAACAGGACAAUCACGAAGUCCCCACACAUCCCGGCGUCGGGCCGAGCCAUCCCUCGGUGCCACCGACCCACACUACUGUGGUUUUUCUGUUUUAAUCGAUCGGCUGACACAACACUCGGCUCCCCACUGGUUGCCGGGAGAAGCUGCGGCAGCUCCGGGACGGCGGACAGGGAGGCGCCGCCCGGCGUGCCGGCCCGGCGGGCUCCCCGGGGGAGGCGCGGCGGGCAGGGCGGGGGACUCCCGAGGGGGCCAGUAGGGCCGCGCUGCAGAUCCGGGUCCCGACUGGCGGGAAAAGCGAAAGUAACUUCGCGGAGCGGGGUCGCGCUGCCCCCGUGUGGGAGGGGCAGGUCAGCGCCCCUGCCUCGGCCUCUGGGACGGUCUCGGGAACGGGGGCCGGGAGCGCCCGGGCACCUGGAAGCCGGUGGGGGCCGCCGCGCGCCCGGGGUCCCUUCCCCGGGUCUGCAGCAGCCGAGGCUCAACCCCAGGCGCGACGGCGGUGGCGGCUGCCGGGACCCCCGCCCUGUCUCGCCCCCGCAGGUGGGACCGCGGGCCGCC